GGACGAAAGUCUGACGGAGCAACGCCGCGUGAGUGAAGAAGGUUUUCGGAUCGUAAAACUCUGUUUUCAGGGACGAAUGUGCAAUAUGUGAAUAAUGUGUUGUAAUGACGGUACCUGACAAGAAAGCCACGGCUAACUACGUGCCAGCAGCCGCGGUAAUACGUAGGUGGCAAGCGUUGUCCGGAAUUAUUGGGCGUAAAGCGCGCGCAGGUGGGAUAAUAAGUCUGAUGUUAAAGUUCGGGGCUCAACCCCGUGAAGCAUUGGAAACUAUUAUUCUUGAGUGCAGGAGAGGAAAGUGGAAUUCCUAGUGUAGCGGUGAAAUGCGUAGAUAUUAGGAGGAACACCAGUGGCGAAGGCGACUUUCUGGACUGUGUCUGACACUGAGGCGCGAAAGCCAGGGUAGUGAACGGGAUUAGAUACCCCGGUAAUCCUGGCCGUAAACGAUGGGUACUAGGUGUUGGGGGUAUCGACCCCUCCAGUGCCGGAGUUAACGCAAUAAGUACCCCGCCUGGGGAGUACG
This 520-nucleotide ribosomal RNA is filed under the name uncultured bacterium. Its description in RNAcentral is "bacterial SSU rRNA". It matches the Rfam family "Bacterial small subunit ribosomal RNA", at positions 373 to 884 of the family's 1533-position model. The record is from RNAcentral.